This 206-nucleotide ribosomal RNA is filed under the name uncultured bacterium. RNAcentral's name for it is "partial 16S ribosomal RNA". It matches the Rfam family "Bacterial small subunit ribosomal RNA", at positions 1294 to 1500 of the family's 1533-position model. The record is from RNAcentral.
CAGAUUGCAGGCUGNAACCCGCCUGCAUGAAGUCGGAAUUGCUAGUAAUCGCGGAUCAGCAUGCCGCGGUGAAUACGUUCCCGGGCCUUGUACACACCGCCCGUCACACCAUGGGAGCCGGUAAUACCCGAAGUCAGUAGUCCAACCACGUGAGGACGCUGCCGAAGGUAGGAUUGGCGACUGGGGUGAAGUCGUAACAAGGUAUC